RNAcentral lists this ribosomal RNA (497 nucleotides) under uncultured bacterium. Its description in RNAcentral is "partial 16S ribosomal RNA". It matches the Rfam family "Bacterial small subunit ribosomal RNA", at positions 28 to 507 of the family's 1533-position model. The record is from RNAcentral.
GAUGAACGCUGGCGGCGUGCCUAAUACAUGCAAGUCGAGCGAACAGACGAGGCGCUUGCUCCUCUGACGUUAGCGGAGGACGGGUGAGUAACACGUGGAUAACCCACCUAUAAGACUGGGAUAACUUCGGGAAACCGGAGCUAAUACCGGAUAAUAUAUUGAACCGCAUGGUUCAAUAGUGAAAGACGGUUUUGCUGUCUCUUAUAGAUGGAUCCGCGCCGCAUUAGCUAGUUGGUAAGGUAACGGCUUACCAGGGCAACCAUGCGUAGCCGACCUGAGAGGGUGAUCGGCCGCACUGGAGCUGAGACACGGUCCAUGCUCCUACGGGAGGCAGCAGUAGGGAAUCUUCCGCAGUGGGCGAAAGCCUUACGGAGCAACGCCGCGUGAGUGAUGAAGGUCUUCGGAUCGUAAAACUCUGUUAUUAGGUAAGAACAAAUGUGUAAGUAACUAUGCACGUCUUGACGGUACCUAAUCAGAAAGCCACGGCUAACUACGUG